ACAGGUGGCAACAUGGAUUAUGGAAGAGCAGAAUGUUUCUGGAACUAUUAUCUUUUUUCAUCUCUGUAUCAUUUAAAUGAAAAUACAGCUAAUGAAGGCUUGAAUUUUUGGAAAUUGGAAACCAGAAAGUAAAAUUAAUCACAAUGUUCCUUUCCUUCAUCAUACCAGAUCAAAUAGAUUAUAAUGGAAUAAAUUUUUAAACCUUUUUUAUAUUUGAAGAAUUAAAGCUUAAUUUUCAGUUUUGGAAGUAUAUAUCUGAUCUAAUAUUCAGUUUGGGUCUUGGAGAAGUGGAUAUGGCUAGAUGAGAAAAGCACUGGCUUUUCAGUACAGAAACCUAUAUUCAAAUCCCAGCCUAAUCAUAAACUACAGAUGAGAAGAUUGUGGUCAGAGAUGCCAAGAGGCUUGGAAGAGUCACCUAGCAAACAGGGAGACAAAUCUGGAAUUGGAAUGCAGG
Molecule: long non-coding RNA, 454 nt
Organism: Canis lupus familiaris (dog)
Lineage: Eukaryota; Metazoa; Chordata; Mammalia; Carnivora; Canidae
Exons: 4
Source: RefSeq, a predicted model, not a curated record